Non-coding RNA from Ictidomys tridecemlineatus (thirteen-lined ground squirrel), 436 nucleotides. The record is from RefSeq and is a predicted model, not a curated record. NCBI's taxonomy places the organism in Eukaryota, Metazoa, Chordata, Mammalia, Rodentia, Sciuridae.
CUCUCUCUCUCUCUCUCCUGCUAGCUCUAAGUAAUCCCUGCUGCCCUGCUGGGCAGUUUAGAGGAGCGAACCAGAGAGAGGAACCGUCUCGGACCUAACAAUAGAAAUAAGCAAGCUCUCCUUUAUUCUGCAGUGAAGUCAAUCAAUCAGGCACUGAAGAGCUCAUUUUCUGGAUAUGGAAAUGGCCAGAUCCCAAAGUUUUAAGAAAGAAAAAUCAGUUUGCAAACAAAAUACUGGGACUAAGUAUAAGGGUAGAUGUCUCAAAAGUAGCAAAACAAACUGUAAGACCAAAAUCCAAACUGGAAGAGCACUAAAGGGAAGCUCAAGAUUACAGCCAGACAGAGCAAGCAGUUCAUAAUCCAGAAGGAAGAUGAAUGACUCUGGAAAGGAAAUCUCCAGAAGAAAAGCACAACUGAGUUUCACAUACUCAAACUCA